RNAcentral lists this ribosomal RNA (489 nucleotides) under uncultured bacterium. Its description in RNAcentral is "bacterial SSU rRNA". It matches the Rfam family "Bacterial small subunit ribosomal RNA", at positions 57 to 518 of the family's 1533-position model. The record is from RNAcentral.
GCAAGGUCGAACGGUCUUUCUAUGGAAGCUUGCUUCCACUGAGAAGAUAGUGGCGAACGGGUGAGUAACACGUGGGUAACCUGCCCAUAAGAGGGGGGAUAACAUCCGGAAACGGGUGCUAAUACCGCAUAGUUUCUUGAUCGCAUGAUCGGGAAAGGAAAGACGGCCUUUGUGCUGUCGCUUAUGGAUGGACCCGCGGCGUAUUAGUUAGUUGGUGAGGUAACGGCUCACCAAGACGAUGAUACGUAGCCGACCUGAGAGGGUGAUCGGCCACAUUGGGACUGAGACACGGCCCAAACUCCUACGGGAGGCAGCAGUAGGGAAUCUUCCGCAAUGGACGAAAGUCUGACGGAGCAACGCCGCGUGAGUGAAGAAAGGUUUUCGGAUCGUAAAACUCUGUUGUCAGAGAAGAACAAGUUGGAGAGUAACUGCUCCAGCCUUGACGGUAUCUGACCAGAAAGCCACGGCUAACUACGUGCCAGCCGCUGC